AGGUGACCUCGUCAAAGACAUUCUUUUACUUUUGGGACUUGCAGCUUGAGAAGUAUGAAUGUUCUCUCUUAUCUCGCUUCCUGGCGAUUAUGUCCAGAGAUUACAACUGCUUCCUCGGCAAACCACGGUCCUCACUUGCUCCCUGAAGGUAUCGCGACAGAUAGUCUGGUUUUUCCCAGUGUAUGAGGUUGUCUACUUUUCCUGCUAAAUGAUGGUCAAAGGCGAUGGAUCUGUCCAGCAGCAUCGGAUUUACUUUAAUAUUUGUUGUAUAGACUUUAUGUUCACGUGUUCCACGAGUUAUGGCUUAUUUCAAUCCUCGAUGAUAACUACUCGUUUUAUUUCACAAGUUAUUUCUAUAUUCAGAAAUAAUAAAAUUUGACGAUUGGCAGAGAUUUAAUUAAAAACGUGGAAACAAAA
Pomacea canaliculata is the source of this 417-nucleotide long non-coding RNA. RefSeq lists it as uncharacterized. NCBI's taxonomy places the organism in Eukaryota, Metazoa, Mollusca, Gastropoda, Architaenioglossa, Ampullariidae. The transcript has 2 exons. The record is from RefSeq and is a predicted model, not a curated record.